Molecule: ribosomal RNA, 429 nt
Filed under: Chloroflexota bacterium
Lineage: Bacteria; Bacillati; Chloroflexota
Description: Chloroflexi bacterium partial 16S ribosomal RNA
Rfam family: Bacterial small subunit ribosomal RNA
Source: RNAcentral
UGGGGAAUAUUGCACAAUGGGCGCAAGCCUGAUGCAGCCAUGCCGCGUGUAUGAAGAAGGCCUUCGGGUUGUAAAGUACUUUCAGCGGGGAGGAAGGGAGUAAAGUUAAUACCUUUGCUCAUUGACGUUACCCGCAGAAGAAGCACCGGCUAACUCCGUGCCAGCAGCCGCGGUAAUACGGAGGGUGCAAGCGUUAAUCGGAAUUACUGGGCGUAAAGCGCACGCAGGCGGUCUGUCAAGUCGGAUGUGAAAUCCCCGGGCUCAACCUGGGAACUGCAUUGGAAACUGGCAGGCUAGAGUCUUGUAGAGGGGGGUAGAAUUCCAGGUGUAGCGGUGAAAUGCGUAGAGAUCUGGAGGAAUACCGGUGGCGAAGGCGGACCCCUGGACAAAGACUGACGCUCAGGUGCGAAAGCGUGGGGAGCAAACAGG